UGCAACAAAGUGUGUUAUGCUCUGGAAUGA
RNAcentral lists this non-coding RNA (30 nucleotides) under Homo sapiens (human). The record is from RNAcentral. Lineage: Eukaryota; Metazoa; Chordata; Mammalia; Primates; Hominidae.